Vollenhovia emeryi is the source of this 1512-nucleotide long non-coding RNA. RefSeq lists it as uncharacterized. NCBI's taxonomy places the organism in Eukaryota, Metazoa, Arthropoda, Insecta, Hymenoptera, Formicidae. The record is from RefSeq and is a predicted model, not a curated record. The transcript is spliced from 3 exons.
GUCUUAUCUUCCCGGGUCGCCGCGAGUCGUCAGGAAGAAAUCCCGCCGUUACGAAAUAUUUAAACUUGGACUACACUGCCGGUACCAUUAAACAGAUACGGGAAAUGUGGAAAAUUCGCGCCAGAAUAUCUGCUUAUACGGCAACCACGUCGUCGCAGCGAUUUUCCGUAUUCGAAAUACCGGCAGCGACGAAUGCGACGACAAAGUAGUGCAAGAUUUACGAGUUUUACAAAUAUGGCGACCGAAGAUUUACGAGUUUCGCAAAUAAGUAUCCGUGGUGAGUUCGUGAGAAUGAAGAGAGUUAACUGUGGGAAACUUUACUUGCGCCAGCACGAUAUCGCAAAAGAGAAAAAGAAUUUUGAUAGAACACAUGAUGCAAUACAUUGCCGUCGAGUUUUAAUCUUUAUCUAAAACAUUGGGACAGCGAAAGAUCGAUGCAGUUCGGUGGCUCGACCUGAAAGCAUCCUCCGCUCUUCUCGCGAGAUACCGUCAAUAAUGAUUGCGAAGAAACUUGGUGAAAUUCCCACCCAACGGCAACGUCACCCGAUCAACCGAGAGCGAUAUUCAAUUUCCUCGCGCGCGAGUCGCGCGUAUUUGACGCGAUAUUUGCGACCAUUGCGCUGCGGGUGGUAUCCACUUUUCAAGUUCGAGGAUGGGGUUCAAACUGAUACUCGCAAAUAUUUUUCGAACCUCAUAGCGACGGAUGCCAUGGAAGUGUAGUAGGUACGUAGGGGAGGAAAAAGCGGAAAGGGCGCGCGCGGCUAUCGAUAUGUCGUUAUUGUUGUACAGCUGCUACAGUUUACAGGAGUGCGCAAAUUUCAAAGUGACUAUCGGCACUACAUCGGUUACCCUCGUGCCAUCGCGGUGCACGCAAACAAUUGGCCCGAUAGUACCCUCGAUUCGGUAUGAAGCAGGUGCGUGGAGGGGAGGAAUGGAAAACGCAGCUACGCAAACAACUACGGGAACAAUAUGUCUAAUUGUGCCAUAUGCAACACAUGUAUAAAUACAUGUUCACGAAAAGCCGCUGUCAUUCCACUUCGCAGGACAAAGCGAUGUGAUUUUGUUGCAAUGAAUAACGUGAAAAUUGAAUUCUUAUCUAUUCGCCUCUCCCAGUCAACAUUACACCGUCUCAUUUGUAUUUAUAUUACUUUGGAUUUUACCUUAUGAAAUUAUGUCUUUUCGUCUUUCAAAUCUUCUUCCUACCACGGAAGUGUAACACAAUUCUAAAAAUUACUGUUGUUUGUAUAGGAGCUUCGGAAACUAUGUUACGUCAGCAAAUAAUGUAACCUUAUUCCUUGAUUUAACAGCAUUGUAAACUUCAAGUUCCUCUAGCGGAACAAAAACUGUUCUUUUUUUAUUAUUAUCGCACUUGCCGCUUAAGCAGAGAUUAUCAGCUUACUAAUAUGAGUUACGACUCAUACUUACUCUACUAUCAUACAUAACAUAUUCUACAAAUAUUGUAUCCAAAUGUUUUAUACAUAUGUGAACCACGAUAGUAUUGUUACGACCGCU